Molecule: ribosomal RNA, 373 nt
Filed under: uncultured cyanobacterium
Lineage: Bacteria; Bacillati; Cyanobacteriota
Description: bacterial SSU rRNA
Rfam family: Bacterial small subunit ribosomal RNA
Source: RNAcentral
UGUGGAUGAAGGUUUGUGAUUGUAAACCCCUUUUGAUUGGGAAGAAUAACUGACGGUACCAAUCGAAUAAGCCUCGGCUAACUCCGUGCCAGCAGCCGCGGUAAUACUGAGGAGGCAAGCGUUAUCCGGAAUUAUUGGGCGUAAAGCGUCCGUAGGUGGUUUUACAAGUCUGCUGUUAAAGCGUGCAGCUUAACUGCAUAUAGGCGGUGGAAACUGUAAGACUAGAGUGUAGUAGGGGUAGAGGGAAUUCCCAGUGGAGCGGUGAAAUGCGUAGAGAUUGGAAAGAACACCGAUGGCGAAAGCGCUCUACUGGGCCAUAACUGACACUGAUGGACGAAAGCUAGGGGAGCGAAAGGGAUUAGAUACCCCUGUA